CCGGGUUGCGGACAGUGUCUGGUGGGUAGUUUGACUGGGGCGGUCUCCUCCUAAAGAGUAACGGAGGAGCACGAAGGUUGGCUAAUCCUGGUCGGACAUCAGGAGGUUAGUGCAAUGGCAUAAGCCAGCUUGACUGCGAGCGUGACGGCGCGAGCAGGUGCGAAAGCAGGUCAUAGUGAUCCGGUGGUUCUGAAUGGAAGGGCCAUCGCUCAACGGAUAAAAGGUACUCCGGGGAUAACAGGCUGAUACCGCCCAAGAGUUCAUAUCGACGGCGGUGUUUGGCACCUCGAUGUCGGCUCAUCACAUCCUGGGGCUGAAGUAGGUCCCAAGGGUAUGGCUGUUCGCCAUUUAAAGUGGUACGCGAGCUGGGUUUAGAACGUCGUGAGACAGUUCGGUCCCUAUCUGCCGUGGGCGCUGGAGAACUGAGGGGGGCUGCUCCUAGUACGAGAGGACCGGAGUGGACGCAUCACUGGUGUUCGGGUUGUCAUGCCAAUGGCACUGCCCGGUAGCUAAAUGCGGAAGAGAUAAGUGCUGAAAGCAUCUAAGCACGAAACUUGCCCCGAGAUGAGUUCUCCCUGAGACUUUAGGUCUCCUGAAGGAACGUUGAAGACGACGACGUUGAUAGGCCGGGUGUGUAAGCGCAGCGAUGCGUUGAGCUAACCGGUACUAAUGAACCGUGAGGCUUAACCUUACAACGCCGAAG
RNAcentral lists this ribosomal RNA (703 nucleotides) under Salmonella enterica subsp. enterica serovar Muenchen. RNAcentral describes it as "partial 23S ribosomal RNA". It matches the Rfam family "Bacterial large subunit ribosomal RNA", at positions 2240 to 2925 of the family's 2925-position model. RNAcentral also lists the same sequence under 3 other names. The record is from RNAcentral. Lineage: Bacteria; Pseudomonadati; Pseudomonadota; Gammaproteobacteria; Enterobacterales; Enterobacteriaceae.